ACCUACUGUUUAAUUUUGAAAGUUCUUUACGAACUUUAUAUAUGGGGGUGUAGCUCAGUUGGGAGAGCACUUGCCUUGCAAGCAAGGGGUCAGGAGUUCGACUCUCCUCAUCUCCACCAUUUAAGAGUAUAUUACUUAAAUCUUUGGUUUACUUAGUAGCCUCUUACAAUGCACUUAUAGCUUAAAUUUAUACAAGCUUUGUGCAUUAGCACUUUAAGCAACGGAAUUUAUUCGUUGGCGCUGUGCUUUAGCACUUUGAAAACUGCAUAUAUAUAUUUAGUGAUAUGACAUCUAAUUUGUAAUAUAUAAAGCUGAUAACUUUUUAAAAUUAUCGAAGUUGAUAGCUUCUAAUCUAUCAAACCCUUUUAACUGGUCAA
This 377-nucleotide transfer RNA is filed under the name Clostridioides difficile. RNAcentral's name for it is "16S-23S ribosomal RNA intergenic spacer (ISR)". The stretch from base 44 to 116 matches the Rfam family "tRNA". The record is from RNAcentral. Lineage: Bacteria; Bacillati; Bacillota; Clostridia; Peptostreptococcales; Peptostreptococcaceae.